Molecule: ribosomal RNA, 118 nt
Filed under: Scophthalmus maximus (turbot)
Lineage: Eukaryota; Metazoa; Chordata; Actinopteri; Pleuronectiformes; Scophthalmidae
Source: RNAcentral
GCUUACGGCCACACCGCCUGGUUCACGCCGAUCUCGUUUGAUCUCGGAAGCUAAAAUAGGUUGGGCCUGGUUAGUACUUGCAUGGGAGACGCCUGGGAAUAUCCAGGUGCUGUAAGCU